CAAAACGUAGCUAAAUACAAAAGCACUCAGCUUACACCUGAGAGAUACCUGCCCCCAACCCAGGUCGUUUUGA
RNAcentral lists this transfer RNA (73 nucleotides) under Pteroglossus azara flavirostris (yellow-billed aracari). Its description in RNAcentral is "tRNA-Val". The record is from RNAcentral. Lineage: Eukaryota; Metazoa; Chordata; Aves; Piciformes; Ramphastidae.